UACGUAGGGUGCAAGCGUUAAUCGGAAUUACUGGGCGUAAAGCGUGCGCAGGCGGUUGUGCAAGACAGAUGUGAAAUCCCCGGGCUCAACCUGGGAAUUGCAUUUGUGACUGCACGGCUAGAGUGUGUCAGAGGGGGGGUAGAAUUCCACGUGUAGCAGUGAAAUGCGUAGAGAUGUGGAGGAAUACCGAUGGCGAAGGCAGCCCCCUGGGAUAACGACUGACGCUCAUGCACGAAAGCGUGGGGAGCAAACAGG
RNAcentral lists this ribosomal RNA (255 nucleotides) under uncultured bacterium. RNAcentral's name for it is "partial 16S ribosomal RNA". It matches the Rfam family "Bacterial small subunit ribosomal RNA", at positions 524 to 776 of the family's 1533-position model. The record is from RNAcentral.